RNAcentral lists this long non-coding RNA (233 nucleotides) under Elaeis guineensis (African oil palm). Its description in RNAcentral is "long non-coding RNA (EGUI_LNC023034)". Lineage: Eukaryota; Viridiplantae; Streptophyta; Magnoliopsida; Arecales; Arecaceae. The record is from RNAcentral.
CCCCCUCUUCUCCUCUAAGUGUAGAUCCUUCGGUCACCGACGAUCAUCGGAGUUUUUCUCCGAUUUUCCCGUUUGAAGCCGCGGCCCCUCGACCUGUGCUCGCCGUGAUUUCUCGCCGGAAACCUCACCGAAGUCGAAGGUAAGCCCCGGCCCUCCUUCCUCUCUUCCUUCCCCUCCUUCCCAUAGCUUCGUGCACCCUCGCCGGCCGUCGGGUUCGUCAGAAAAUCCACAAA